This 482-nucleotide ribosomal RNA is filed under the name uncultured bacterium. Its description in RNAcentral is "partial 16S ribosomal RNA". It matches the Rfam family "Bacterial small subunit ribosomal RNA", at positions 30 to 507 of the family's 1533-position model. The record is from RNAcentral.
AUUGAACGCUGGCGGCAUGCCUUACACAUGCAAGUCGAACGGUAACGGGCCUUCGGGUGCCGACGAGUGGCGAACGGGUGAGUAAUACAUCGGAACGUGCCCGAUCGUGGGGGAUAACGAGGCGAAAGCUUUGCUAAUACCGCAUACGAUCUACGGAUGAAAGCAGGGGACCGCAAGGCCUUGCGCGGGCGGAGCGGCCGAUGGCGGAUUAGGUAGUUGGUGGGAUAAAGGCUUACCAAGCCGACGAUCUGUAGCUGGUCUGAGAGGAUGAUCGGCCACACUGGGACGGAGACACGGCCCAGACUCCUACGGGAGGCAGCAGUGGGGAAUUUUGGACAAUGGGCGCAAGCCUGAUCCAGCCAUGCCGCGUGCAGGAUGAAGGCCUUCGGGUUGUAAACUGCUUUUGUACGGAACGAAAAGCCUUCUUUUAAUACAGGAGGGUCAUGACGGUACCGUAAGAAUAAGCACCGGCUAACUACGUG